CGAACGAGCACGGAUUCUUCGGAUGAAGUGCUGAGUGGCGGACGGGGAGUAACGCGUGGGUACCUGCCCUGUACAGGGGGAUAACAGCUGGAAACGGCUGCUAAUACCGCAUAAGGAGACAUCUCAAAAACUCCGGUGGUACAGGAUGGGCCCGCGUCUGAUUAGCUGGUUGGCAGGGUAACGGCCUACCAAGGCAACGAUCAGUAGCCGGUCUGAGAGGAUGAACGGCCACAUUGGAACUGAGACACGGUCCAAACUCCUACGGGAGGCAGCAGUGGGGAAUAUUGCACAAUGGGGGAAACCCUGAUGCAGCAACGCCGCGUGAGUGAAGAAGUAUUUCGGUAUGUAAAGCUCUAUCAGCAGGGAAGAUAAUGACGGUACCUGACUAAGAAGCUCCGGCUAAAUACGUGCCAGCAGCCGCGGUAAUACGUAUGGAGCAAGCGUUAUCCGGAUUUACUGGGUGUAAAGGGUGCGUAGGUGGCAGUGCAAGUCAGAUGUGAAAGGCCGGGGCUCAACCCCGGAGCUGCAUUUGAAACUGCUCGGCUAGAGUACAGGAG
RNAcentral lists this ribosomal RNA (557 nucleotides) under uncultured bacterium. Its description in RNAcentral is "bacterial SSU rRNA". It matches the Rfam family "Bacterial small subunit ribosomal RNA", at positions 63 to 654 of the family's 1533-position model. The record is from RNAcentral.